Molecule: long non-coding RNA, 437 nt
Filed under: Elaeis guineensis (African oil palm)
Lineage: Eukaryota; Viridiplantae; Streptophyta; Magnoliopsida; Arecales; Arecaceae
Description: long non-coding RNA (EGUI_LNC043619)
Source: RNAcentral
AGAAACCAAUAUGGCUGACACAUUGUAAUAAAUCUUGAACACAAUUUUGUACUGAAUAUAUUGAUAUGAUCAACAAAAGGGAUAAAUUCAUUUUUCAUUCAAGUUGAUGUGUCCUUGAAUCGUCUAUAGAAUUAGUUUCGAUACAUAUUCUCAAAGUGUUGAGAAUUAGAAAUAUGUAUUUAAUUCCUAAAUACUUUCGAUCAUAGGAUCAUUAUGAGGAUGGUGAUAGAUCCAGAUAGACUGACGCAUAAAUCACUUCAUUCGGGAUAGAUGGAUCUUUAAUCUAUUGUGUAGAGACACAGGGCGACAAGUGCGGGUGGUUGUGAGAGAACUAAUAUUGAGCGUGAUCAUAUGAGAGAUCACUUAAAUUUUUACUUGAUCGUCAGUGAUCGUCUCAAUACCGUAGUUGUGUGACUGGUCCUUUGAUUUGAGAUGGC